UCCGGGUUGACCCCGGCAGUCUCCUAUGAGUCCCCACCAUAACGUGCUGGCAACAUAGGACGAGGGUUGCGCUCGUUGCGGGACUUAACCCAACAUCUCACGACACGAGCUGACGACACGUCAUCCCCACCUGUCUCCGCGCCCCCGAAGGGAACCCCUGCUUUCACAGGGUAGCGCGGGAUGUCAAGCCCAGGUAAGGUUUUUCGCGUAGCAUCGAAUUAAACCACAUACUCCACCGCUUGUGCGGGCCCCCGUCAAUUUCUUUGAGUUUUAAUCUUGCGACCGUACUUCCCAGGCGGAUCACUUAACGCGUUAGCUACGACACCAAAAAGAUUAGGCUUUCUGACGUCUAGUGAUCAUCGUUUAGGGCGUGGACUAC
RNAcentral lists this unclassified non-coding RNA (379 nucleotides) under uncultured bacterium. RNAcentral describes it as "contains 16S-23S intergenic spacer region". The record is from RNAcentral.